AUCAGCUACGCCACGGUGAAUACGUUCCCGGGCCUUGUACACACCGCCCGUCACGCCAUGGAAGCUGUGAGCGCCCGAAGUCCGUGCAGCAACCCGCAAGGGGGCAAGCGGCCGAAGGCGAGCGCAGUGACUGGGGCGAAGUCGUAACAAGGUAGCCGUAGGGGAACCUGCGGCUGGAUCACCUCCUUACG
RNAcentral lists this ribosomal RNA (191 nucleotides) under Gemmatimonadaceae bacterium. RNAcentral's name for it is "partial 16S ribosomal RNA". It matches the Rfam family "Bacterial small subunit ribosomal RNA", at positions 1348 to 1533 of the family's 1533-position model. Lineage: Bacteria; Pseudomonadati; Gemmatimonadota; Gemmatimonadia; Gemmatimonadales; Gemmatimonadaceae. The record is from RNAcentral.